Molecule: unclassified non-coding RNA, 276 nt
Filed under: Hevea brasiliensis (rubber tree)
Lineage: Eukaryota; Viridiplantae; Streptophyta; Magnoliopsida; Malpighiales; Euphorbiaceae
Source: RNAcentral
CAGUUUAUUCUCCCCACCUUCAUUGCCCCAUCCAAUGAGCUUGCAACAUCUCUAAUGACAGAUUCAUAAUAUUGGAUAUCUCUCGAUAUAGAUGUAUGAGAGAGUAAUAGCCAAGUCAUUCCUUUAUCAGAUAUUUCUUUCUUAUACAACUGCGAGUUUAUGGAAGGGAUGCUCUUGCCAGAGUUCUUGGUUCUAGACUGAGACUUGCCUGAACCACCAAAGCCACUAAAACCCCCAAAUCUACUCCCACUUCCCAUACCACUGCCAAACAUGUUG